RNAcentral lists this ribosomal RNA (50 nucleotides) under Trypanosoma cruzi. The record is from RNAcentral. Lineage: Eukaryota; Euglenozoa; Kinetoplastea; Trypanosomatida; Trypanosomatidae.
UUCACAAAUCGGACGGGAUGUGGUGCACUCGGCCAAGUAUGGUCGUACCC